UGGGGAAUAUUGGACAAUGGGCGAAAGCCUGAUCCAGCCAUGCCGCGUGAGUGAUGAAGGCCUUCGGGUUGUAAAGCUCUUUUAGAUGGGAAGAUAAUGACGGUACCAUCAGAAUAAGCCCCGGCUAACUUCGUGCCAGCAGCCGCGGUAAUACGAAGGGGGCAAGCGUUGUUCGGAAUUACUGGGCGUAAAGGGUGCGUAGGCGGUUUGCCAAGUCAGAUGUGAAAGCCCAGGGCUUAACCCUGGAACUGCAUUUGAAACUGGUGAACUAGAGUAUGGGAGAGGUAAGUGGAAUUCCCAGUGUAGAGGUGAAAUUCGUAGAUAUUGGGAAGAACAUCAAUGGCGAAGGCAGCUUACUGGACCAUUACUGACGCUGAGGCACGAAAGCGUGGGGAGCAAACAG
This 403-nucleotide ribosomal RNA is filed under the name uncultured bacterium. RNAcentral's name for it is "bacterial SSU rRNA". It matches the Rfam family "Bacterial small subunit ribosomal RNA", at positions 355 to 775 of the family's 1533-position model. The record is from RNAcentral.